UGGGGAAUAUUGGACAAUGGGCGAAAGCCUGAUCCAGCAACGCCGCGUGAAGGAUGAAGUAUUUCGGUAUGUAAACUUCGAAAGAAUAGGAAGAAUAAAUGACGGUACUAUUUAUAAGGUCCGGCUAACUACGUGCCAGCAGCCGCGGUAAUACGUAGGGACCAAGCGUUGUUCGGAUUUACUGGGCGUAAAGGGCGCGUAGGCGGCAUGACAAGUCACUUGUGAAAUCUCUGGGCUUAACCCAGAACGGCCAAGUGAUACUGUCGCGCUAGAGUGCAGAAGGGGCAAUCGGAAUUCUUGGUGUAGCGGUGAAAUGCGUAGAUAUCAAGAGGAACACCUGAGGUGAAGACGGGUUGCUGGGCUGACACUGACGCUGAGGCGCGAAAGCCAGGGGAGCAAACGGGAUUAGAUACCCCAGUAGUCCCUGAGCGGGCUGGCAAGGCGCAU
This 447-nucleotide ribosomal RNA is filed under the name uncultured bacterium. RNAcentral's name for it is "bacterial SSU rRNA". It matches the Rfam family "Bacterial small subunit ribosomal RNA", at positions 355 to 825 of the family's 1533-position model. The record is from RNAcentral.